UAAGGUCACACUGCUGGUUAGGAAUGGAUCUAGAUUCCAUUAGCUUCAAAAUCCAAGCUAUUUCUGUUAACUCACGUUGCCUCUAACAGUCUCGGUGACAAGAGCAACCCCUUACGUGUGAAUAGGGUGCUAGUUUGCAAAGUCGUUCUACCAUAUUUACUCAUCCGAGUUUCCAUCCAAUCCUGGAGGUAGUCAGGACAGGGUUUUAUUUAUGAAACCGAAAGGCAGGGGCCUCAAGCAUAUGUUCGGGGAUUUGGUGUGCAGUUGGAAAUUGGCAGGUCUGACACCCGCGCUGCCGUCUUCUAUCCAUUGCUUUAACUUGGCUUCAAACAAGCUUGUAGAGAGAAGCAGAUUGUGGGGAGACACACUGUCUGAAAACCAUGUUGCCAUCCCCCCAACCUUUGAUAUCCUGGGAAAACUCCAAAAAGCAAGAGCUUGAAGAGAACACAGUAAAAAGAAAAGGAAGAAACUAGAGAAAACCAACAAUGGAAGGUAAAGGGGGAUAACUGAGAAGGGAGACCUGAGAAGAAACAUAUAGCAAAAGAUAUUUAUCAAAUUAAAAAAAAAUUUAAAUGGAAUGGAGAAAUAUAGACCCAUUAGCAGAUUAAAGGGGGAAAAUGUAUUCAUCUCAAUUGAUGCAGCAAAGUCACUCAAAAUAUUCAACACCCGUUGAUAUUUUUUUUAAAACUCCA
Molecule: long non-coding RNA, 692 nt
Filed under: Homo sapiens (human)
Lineage: Eukaryota; Metazoa; Chordata; Mammalia; Primates; Hominidae
Description: HSALNT0105188
Source: RNAcentral